Molecule: non-coding RNA, 180 nt
Filed under: Clostridium sp.
Lineage: Bacteria; Bacillati; Bacillota; Clostridia; Eubacteriales; Clostridiaceae
Description: 6S RNA
Rfam family: 6S / SsrS RNA
About the family: E. coli 6S RNA was the first non coding RNA to be sequenced, but its function was unknown until recently.
Source: RNAcentral
GAAAUCCUGAGAUGUGCGAUUAGCUUAUGAUGUUCAACCUACAUUAUAUUUACGGGAUUUGCAACAUGUUUGUGGAUGUCGGGCUUCCAUAAGAUCAGAAGAUGGCAGAAGCAAAUUGCGCAGAACCCACCUGCGAGCUGCAGGUGUGAAUAUUUAAGUGACCGGCAUGUUGGGAAUAAA